RNAcentral lists this ribosomal RNA (320 nucleotides) under uncultured Spirochaetaceae bacterium. RNAcentral's name for it is "bacterial SSU rRNA". It matches the Rfam family "Bacterial small subunit ribosomal RNA", at positions 1070 to 1382 of the family's 1533-position model. Lineage: Bacteria; Pseudomonadati; Spirochaetota; Spirochaetia; Spirochaetales; Spirochaetaceae. The record is from RNAcentral.
AGGUGUUCGGGUUAAGUCCCGCAACGAGCGCAACCCCUACUGCCAGUUACUAACAGGUAACGCUGAGGACUCUGGCGGAACCUGCCCGGUGGACAAACCGGGAGGAAGGUGGGGAUGACGUCAAGUCAUCAUGGCCCCCUAUGUCCAGGGCUACACACGUGCUACAAUGGGCGAUACAGAGUGACGCGAAGCCGCGAGGUGGAGCAAAUCGCAGAAAAUCGCUCUCAGUUCGGAUUGGAGUCUGAAACCCGACUCCAUGAAGGUGGAAUCGCUAGUAACCGCAGGUCAGCAAUACUGCGGUGAAUACGUUCCCGGGUCUU